Molecule: ribosomal RNA, 492 nt
Filed under: uncultured bacterium
Lineage: Bacteria
Description: partial 16S ribosomal RNA
Rfam family: Bacterial small subunit ribosomal RNA
Source: RNAcentral
AGUGAACGCUGGCGGUAGGCCUAACACAUGCAAGUCGAACGGCAGCACAGUAAGAGCUUGCUCUUACGGGUGGCGAGUGGCGGACGGGUGAGGAAUACAUCGGAAUCUACUUUUUCGUGGGGGAUAACGUAGGGAAACUUACGCUAAUACCGCAUACGACCUACGGGUGAAAGCAGGGGAUCUUCGGACCUUGCGCGAUUGAAUGAGCCGAUGUCGGAUUAGCUAGUUGGCGGGGUAAAGGCCCACCAAGGCGACGAUCCGUAGCUGGUCUGAGAGGAUGAUCGGCCACACUGGAACUGAGACACGGUCCAGACUCCUACGGGAGGCAGCAGUGGGGAAUAUUGGACAAUGGGCGCAAGCCUGAUCCAGCCAUACCGCGUGGGUGAAGAAGGCCUUCGGGUUGUAAAGCCCUUUUGUUGGGAAAGAAAAGCAGCAGGUUAAUACCCCGCUGUUCUGGCGGUACCCAAAGAAUAAGCACCGGCUAACUUCGUG